UCCGGUUUAACACCGGCAGUCUCCCCAGAGUCCCCAACUUAAUGCUGGUAACUAAGGAUAAGGGUUGCGCUCGUUACCGGACUUAACCGAACAUCUUACGACACGAGCUGACGACAGCCAUGCAGCACCUGUGUCCGAGUCCCCGAAGGGAAAGCUACAUCUCUGCAGUUGUCUCGGCAUGUCAAGGGUAGGUAAGGUUCUGCGCGUUGCUUCGAAUUAAACCACAUACUCCACCGCUUGUGCGGGCCCCCGUCAAUUCCUUUGAGUUUUAGCCUUGCGACCGUACUCCCCAGGCGGGGUACUUAAUGCGUUAGCUUUGGUACUCAGGAGGUUAACUUCCCAAACACCUAGUACCCAUCGUUUACGGCGUGGACUAC
RNAcentral lists this unclassified non-coding RNA (377 nucleotides) under uncultured Oligoflexaceae bacterium. Its description in RNAcentral is "contains 16S-23S intergenic spacer region". Lineage: Bacteria; Pseudomonadati; Bdellovibrionota; Oligoflexia; Oligoflexales; Oligoflexaceae. The record is from RNAcentral.